Molecule: long non-coding RNA, 1240 nt
Organism: Vigna radiata var. radiata (mung bean)
Lineage: Eukaryota; Viridiplantae; Streptophyta; Magnoliopsida; Fabales; Fabaceae
Exons: 5
Source: RefSeq, a predicted model, not a curated record
AGAAAAUCUCUGAAUGCAGCAUUUGUUCAUGAAUUACUCUGACAUAUACAGCUCAAAGCUGAUUCGGUUACUUGAAAGAUUGGACUAAUGAAGAAGAGACACACCACAAGGAUGCGUGCUGCUGCUAAAUACUCAGUCCUGCUGCUGCAGAGCCUCCACAACUUCCAACGUUCAUUUGAAUUUUGGAACGUUGGUGGCAACGUUCAUAAUCCAACGUUUAGAAUUUUGCAACGGUCGUUUCUUUGCAUUAUAAAUAUACCAUCCAUCGUUCCAAUUGCAACACACAAAUCACAUAUUUUCAAUUUCUAUUUUCACUUUUGAUUUCCUACCUUCUAUUUUAUUUUCUAUAUCUCAUAUCCUCCUUGUAUAGAGUUUCUUGCGGUUUGAGUUUUGAUGAGUUGAAGAGAACUGAGAACAAGAUCAUUGCAAAACGAAGAAACGGGCUUUUGAAGAAAGCUUAUGAGCUUUCCGUUCUCUGUGAUGCCGAGCUUGCUCUCAUCAUCAUCAUCUUCUCCACUAGAGGAAAGUUGUACGAGUUUUGCAGCACUUCAAGUAUGCUGAAAACGCUAGAAAGGUAUCAGAAAUGUAACUAUGGAGCGCCUUGGUAUUGUUCCCAUAUCCGUACUUCUUUCAGAAAAAUGAAGAAGCUCACCCGAGACCAUACAUUUAUUGUUGCUGCUCGGAAGGAGUAUUCACUGCUUGUAUGAUACUUAAAAGUCCUAAGGAAAUAAAAAUCUUAUGGGGGUUGCAGGUUGUUAGCAGUGAUGGGAGAAAAGGGUCAAGCGGCUUCAUCCACUUUGUUAUCUGUAGAGAAUUUGCCAGAGGAUCAUUCAACGAAUAUUCCAUGAAGCUGGAAAUAUAAAGAGGAUAACAAUUAAUGACCCAUAUUCUACUUCACAGUCCACAAAACAUAUAAAGCAAGAAAUGUUAAUCAGUAUAAGGUGGCAUUGAGCUUGUUUGGUCCUCCGUUGAGAUAUAUAGUCAUUUAGAAGAUGACGUGCUUCUCUUUCUUAGAUGAAGCUAGAUCACAUGUUUGAUGAACAGAAAAAUUGUUUUGACAAAAGGAUUCGUAGUAUCUUUUCUUUUGACUUUUGGAUUGAAAAAUUGUUUUGACUUAUGUAUCUGAACAUUUUCACGGAGGAACAUCUGCUUAUUUCUGACGAUUGGUAGGUACUUCACAGUUACAAUUUUUAUAAAGAAAUGUACUAUAAAUUGGAAAUAGUUUGACAUCAUCACAAAA